GAUGAAGAACGUAGCGAAAUGCGAUACUUGGUGUGAAUUGCAGAAUCCCGUGAACCAUCGAGUCUUUGAACGCAAGUUGCGCCCGAAGCCACUAGGCCGAGGGCACGCCUGCCUGGGCGUCACACGCCGUUGCCCCCCCAUCUACUCCUUCGGGAUUGCGGGGGGGCGGAUGAUGGCCUCCUGUGCGCCUAGCCGCGCGGUUGGCAUAAAUACCAAGUCCUCGGCGACGCACGCCACGACAAUCGGUGGUUGCGAAACCUCGGUUGCCCGUCGUGUGCGUUCGUCGCGCAUCGAGGGCUCGAAAAAAUGCUUGGCUCCGGCUGGGCUUUCAACGCGACCCCAGGUCAGGCGGGGUUACCCGCUGAAUUUAAGCAUAUCAAUAAGCGGAGGA
This 391-nucleotide unclassified non-coding RNA is filed under the name soil metagenome. RNAcentral's name for it is "partial contains 5.8S ribosomal RNA, internal transcribed spacer 2, and large subunit ribosomal RNA". The stretch from base 1 to 122 matches the Rfam family "5.8S ribosomal RNA", at positions 35 to 154 of the family's 154-position model. The record is from RNAcentral.